Molecule: unclassified non-coding RNA, 627 nt
Filed under: Hevea brasiliensis (rubber tree)
Lineage: Eukaryota; Viridiplantae; Streptophyta; Magnoliopsida; Malpighiales; Euphorbiaceae
Source: RNAcentral
CGGCUAUUAAUUUCCCAAAUUUGUUCCCAAUUCUAGGGUUUCCAUAAUCUCAAUUCUCUUCGAAUUUCUCUUGGAAAUCCAGCAGAAUAAUGAAUGAAAAGGGUGACUUUGCUACAAGUAAUGGUACAAAAGGUGAAAGGUCAAUGAACUAUGAUGAAGAAUCCAGUGAUGAAGCUCAGGACAGAGAAAGGCCAAUUGGUGAGGAACUUGGGGCUGGUCUCGAGAGAGGGAAUGAUAGGGAGUCUGAAAAUGUGUCAAAAGAAGAUCUAGCUGCUGAAUCUCCGUGGGAUGUUAAUGAAGAGAAGAGUGAGAAUCACGGUUCAUCCACUGAUCACGAGCCUCUAACGGAAUCUAUCUUCAACUUCCAUGCUGCUCAAGAAGCUCUUGCUAGUGAAAUUCAGAAAUUCAAAGAAAUAGGGAAAGAUACUAACUUUGGUCAUUCACUUGAGGAUGUUGGUAUACCUUCAAAUUUCACGUCAGAUGACUCAGAUUUUCCUAGAUCAAGCACAUCCGUGCUGUCACAGAACAGAGAUGGUGCUCAAAGUUCUCUUAACUCCUUGGAGUCUGAAGUGUAUAGCCUAAAGCAGAAUAUAUUACUGUUGCAAAACCAGGUUCAGGAGGCAGCUG